RNAcentral lists this ribosomal RNA (473 nucleotides) under uncultured bacterium. Its description in RNAcentral is "partial 16S ribosomal RNA". It matches the Rfam family "Bacterial small subunit ribosomal RNA", at positions 28 to 507 of the family's 1533-position model. The record is from RNAcentral.
GAUAAACGCUGGCGGCGCACAUAAGACAUGCAAGUUGAACGGACUUAAUCGAAAUAUUUAUAUUUUGAAGCGGUUAGUGGCGGACUGGUGAGUAACGCGUAAGGAACCUGCCUAUUAGAGGGGAAUAACAGUGAGAAAUCAUUGCUAAUACCGCAUAUGCCAUAGAUAUCACAUGAUAACAGUGGGAAAGGAGCAAUCCGCUAAUAGAUGGCCUUGCGUCUGAUUAGAUAGUUGGUGGGGUAACGGCCUACCAGGUCGACGAUCAGUAGCCGGACUGAGAGGUUGAACGGCCACAUUGGGACUGAGAUACGGCCCAGACUCCUACGGGAGGCAGCAGUCGGGAAUAUUGCGCAAUGGAGGAAACUCUGACGCAGUGACGCCGCGUAGAGGAAGAAGGUUUUCGGAUUGUAAACUAUUGUCGUUAGGGAAGAGAAAGGACAGUACCUAAGGAGGAAGCUCCGGCUAACUACGUG